Long non-coding RNA from Vicia villosa (hairy vetch), 869 nucleotides. RefSeq lists it as uncharacterized. The transcript has 4 exons. Lineage: Eukaryota; Viridiplantae; Streptophyta; Magnoliopsida; Fabales; Fabaceae. The record is from RefSeq and is a predicted model, not a curated record.
UGACUAAUAAAUCCGGUGCAAUGAGUUAUUUGGUCUGAAUGUGAAAUGGAACAGACAACAAAAUGAGCAGGACGGUUGCGGAAAGACGUACAGGAACCUAAAUCUAUAGUGGAACAUAUGUUUCACAUGGGUUUGGUGGCUCUCAUUGCACUGGAUUUUCCUGGCAUUGACCGAGAUAAGUGUGUCACAAUGGUUGUUAUUCACAAUAUUGCAGAAGGUGUAUACAAAGGGAGCUUCUGUGAAGCAUUUGUGUAAAGAUGUAUUCAAAGGGAGCUUCCGUGCAGCCUGCUUUGUAUGAAGGGAGCUUCUGUGCAGCCUUUUUAAAUUUGUAUGAAGGGUGCAACUGCAAUAACUGAAGCUGAAUCAGGUUACGACCAUCACCGACUUUUUUAUCGAAUUGACAAACAUAAACAGGAUAAAAGACAUUCUCUAUGGCAAGAAACUGUCCCUAAAGCUGACGUUGUUAACGAAGCCAUGUCGGGGAUUCCUGUCAUUGUGGCUUGUCUUCUUAGUUUUAAUGUUGUCCCUAAAGCCAACGUUUGUCUUCUUAGUCAUUGUGGUUUGUCAUACAGGGAACCGAAUCAGCUUUUACAGUGCCCGAGUACGACUUGAAAUAUGCCGCUGGUUGGAAUGGCUGCUACACUAGCAUCUGUUCCUAAUGUUCCUUUGACUAUUCUUAACAAGGGACUGUUGGAUUGGCAAUUUGGGUCCCCCCGGUGACAAACCAAGCGAAGGAGAGUGAUAUACCUGAUAAAAGAAGUCUGUCAAGAGGAUAUUCUUCCAUUUCAUGUUCUGAAGAUAAUGAUUAUGGCAAUGGGUUGUUGUACUACUUACUACCUAUGAUUGGAGCAGUAUAUAUAUUUAUUUAU